GGGAAGAUGGCCGAGUGGUUAAGGCGCUACGUUUAGGUAUUUAGUACCCAAAUCCGUAGUGGGAAACCGCGUGAGUUCGAACCUCACUCUUCUCA
Non-coding RNA from Terfezia claveryi, 95 nucleotides. NCBI's taxonomy places the organism in Eukaryota, Fungi, Ascomycota, Pezizomycetes, Pezizales, Pezizaceae. The record is from the annotation of a GenBank genome assembly.